UGAGGAAUAUUGGUCAAUGGACGGAAGUCUGAACCAGCCAAGUAGCGUGCAGGAUGACGGCCCUAUGGGUUGUAAACUGCUUUUAUACGGGGAUAAAGUUAGGGACGUGUCCCUAUUUGCAGGUACCGUAUGAAUAAGGACCGGCUAAUUCCGUGCCAGCAGCCGCGGUAAUACGGAAGGUCCGGGCGUUAUCCGGAUUUAUUGGGUUUAAAGGGAGCGUAGGCCGCGUUUUAAGCGUGUUGUGAAAUGUAGACGCCCAACGUCUGCAUCGCAGCGCGAACUGGGACGCUUGAGUACGCGCAACGUUGGCGGAAUUCGUCGUGUAGCGGUGAAAUGCUUAGAUAUGACGAGGAACUCCGAUUGCGAAGGCAGCUGACGGGAGCGGCACUGACGCUUAAGCUCGAAGGUGCGGGUAUCAAACAGG
RNAcentral lists this ribosomal RNA (424 nucleotides) under Verrucomicrobiota bacterium. Its description in RNAcentral is "Verrucomicrobia bacterium partial 16S ribosomal RNA". It matches the Rfam family "Bacterial small subunit ribosomal RNA", at positions 355 to 776 of the family's 1533-position model. The record is from RNAcentral. Lineage: Bacteria; Pseudomonadati; Verrucomicrobiota.